This 502-nucleotide ribosomal RNA is filed under the name uncultured bacterium. RNAcentral's name for it is "bacterial SSU rRNA". It matches the Rfam family "Bacterial small subunit ribosomal RNA", at positions 36 to 518 of the family's 1533-position model. The record is from RNAcentral.
CGGACUGGCGGCGUGCCUAACACAUGCAAGUCGAACGGAGAUUUAACGCUGAUGAAGCUUCGGCAGAUUCUUGUAAAUCUAGUGGCGGACGGGUGAGUAACGCGUGGGCAACCUGCCUCAUACUGGGGGAUAACAGCUGGAAACGACUGUUAAUACCGCAUAAGCGCACAGCAUCGCAUGAUGCAGUGUGAAAAAACUCCGGUGGUAUGAGAUGGGCCCGCGUCAGAUUAGCCAGUUGGCAGGGUAACGGCCUACCAAAGCGACGAUCUGUAGCCGGCCUGAGAGGGCGGACGGCCACAUUGGGACUGAGACACGGCCCAAACUCCUACGGGAGGCAGCAGUGGGGGAUAUUGCACAAUGGAGGAAACUCUGAUGCAGCGACGCCGCGUGAAGUGAAGAAGUAUUUCGGUAUGUAAAGCUCUAUCAGCAGGGAAGAAAGACUCGUAAGAGAGAUGACGGUACCUGACUAAGAAGCCCCGGCUAACUACGUGCCAGCAGCCGC